This 468-nucleotide ribosomal RNA is filed under the name uncultured bacterium. RNAcentral describes it as "partial 16S ribosomal RNA". It matches the Rfam family "Bacterial small subunit ribosomal RNA", at positions 28 to 507 of the family's 1533-position model. The record is from RNAcentral.
GACGAACGCUGGCGGCGUGCUUAACACAUGCAAGUCGAACGGAAAGGCCCUGCUUUUGUGGGGUGCUCGAGUGGCGAACGGGUGAGUAACACGUGAGUAACCUGCACUUGACUUUGGGAUAACUUCAGGAAACUGGGGCUAUUACCGGAUAGGAGCUCCUGCUGCACGGUGGGGGUUGGAAAGUUUCGGCGGUUCGGGAUGGACUCGCGGCUUAUCCGCUUGUUGGUGUGGUAGUGACUUACCAGGCUUUUGACGGGUAGCCGGCCUGGGAGGGUGACCGGCCACAUUGGGACUGCGAUACGGCGCAGACUCCUACGGGAGGCAGCAGUGGGGAAUAUUGCACAGUGGGCGGAAGCCUGAUGCAGCAACGCCGCGUGCGGGAUGACGGCCUUCUGGUUGUGAACCGCUUUCUCCUGUGACGAAGCGUGAGUGACGGUAAUGGGUAAAGAAGCACCGGCUAACUACGUG